UAUCUACUCCCUCCGUCCCAAAAUAAUUGACUUAAAAGUGACUUUGUUUUAUACUAAAGUUAGUACAAAACUGAGUCAUUUUCAAGUCACUUAUUUUGGGACGGAGGGAGUAAUAU
This is a non-coding RNA of Hordeum vulgare subsp. vulgare (domesticated barley), 116 nucleotides long. The record is from Rfam. Lineage: Eukaryota; Viridiplantae; Streptophyta; Magnoliopsida; Poales; Poaceae.